CCUGCACGUAGCACAUGUCUCGAGCAAUAUAUACGUAUACACGAUGCAUUCUCGUUAGGCAGCAAAUGUGUGGGGAACGUAGCGAGGGGAAAUACAGGUAUUAUUCGAAACACGUUGAGCAGCUCGCCACAAUCGACUGCUAACGAGGAUACGUAUGCCGAAAGUUCAAACAGAAGAGCGCGAGUAGUUCGGAAUAUCUGUCAACAAGCGAUGACAAAUCAUUCGUAACGAAAUUUCUCGUUAUCUGUGAGUCUAACUGCCAGCAAAUUUAACAUAGAAAUACUACAGAUUCCAAUCGAAAACUCUAAGAAUUAUCGCAAAUGCACCGUAUUGUGCGAGCAAUAAAACUGUAAAUAACGAUCUGAAAAUACCACGCGGUAAAUCAACCAUCCAAAAAUAAAGCAAAAGAUACACACGAAGAGUCCGAAAUCACGCAAAUACACGGGCUCGUGAACUUCUCGAUUAAACCAAUGAAAUAAAAAGACUGAAACGUACGAAGCCUCUCGACCUAAUUAAUUAAACAAACCAAUGUGAAUAAAUAAAUAUAAAACCAUAGAACGUAAAAGCAGCAGUUAUCAUUAGAUAUGGAAUACCGGUGGGCAAUCCAUUCUAAAAUAUAAAAUAAAAUCAAUAAAUUUCAUAGCACAGGACAAUUAUUGAAAGUUCCUCACACAAACGGAUUGUAAUUUGUAAUUUUUUAAAUAAAAUGUGAAUCUCGAAGCGUCAGCAA
This is a long non-coding RNA of Venturia canescens, 730 nucleotides long. RefSeq lists it as uncharacterized. NCBI's taxonomy places the organism in Eukaryota, Metazoa, Arthropoda, Insecta, Hymenoptera, Ichneumonidae. The record is from RefSeq and is a predicted model, not a curated record. The transcript has 2 exons.